Molecule: non-coding RNA, 25 nt
Filed under: Mus musculus (house mouse)
Lineage: Eukaryota; Metazoa; Chordata; Mammalia; Rodentia; Muridae
Source: RNAcentral
GAGUGUCUGCUGCACCAGAAAGGCA